Molecule: ribosomal RNA, 1620 nt
Filed under: Triticum aestivum (bread wheat)
Lineage: Eukaryota; Viridiplantae; Streptophyta; Magnoliopsida; Poales; Poaceae
Description: partial small subunit ribosomal RNA
Source: RNAcentral
AUGAGGACACGGAGCAUGGCGUCCAAACCCGAACCAGUCCCCUCCACCCACGGGACGGCGGCUCGUGCCCCAGCGCCGGCCUCCGUGAGUGCCUCCACCCACGGGACGGCGGCUCGUGCCGCAGCGCGGGCCUCCGUGAGUGCCUCCACCCACGGGAAGGCGGCUCGUGCCCCAGCGCGGGCCUCCGUGAGUGCCUCCACCCACGGGACGGCGGCUCGUGCCCCAACGCCGGCCUCCGUGAGUGCCUCCACCCACGGGACGGCGGCUCGUGCCCCAGCGCCGGCCUCCGUGAGUGCCUCCACCCACGGGACGGCGGCUCGUGCCCCAGCGCCGGCCUCCGUGAGUGCCUCCACCCACGGGACGGCGGCUCGUGCCCCAGCGCCGGCCUCCGUGAGUGCCUCCACCCACGGGACGGCGGCUCGUGCCCCAGCGCCGGUCUCCGUGAGUGCCCCCACCCACGGGACGGCGGCUCCUGCCCCACCGCCGGCCUCCGUGCGUGCUCCCACCUAUUGUGCCACCGUGCAGAGAUGCGUUGCGCUCCUUGACUGGUGGCUGGUGAGGGGUCAAGGCGGCAAGAUCCGUGUUGCCGGGUACAUCGACAACGUCGAGAAGAAUCGAGCAGGUCGAGUAUUCAGUUCUGGUUCCAUUACGGUGCGGCAUGCUGAUGGUACUCUUGAGACUGCAGAUAACAAAAUUGUAUUAACUAGGGGUCCAUUAAAUAUCGAACAGAUGCAUUGGAAUGGAUUUUCUCGUGAGGUUUCGGAACAGUUCAGGCUUGGUUUUCCUAUUCAAUGGGAGAAAUAUGCUAAUUCUAACAUGAAACAGGCGAAUGAACACAUACUAUCUCCAGCAAAAUCAACUGAAUAUUGUGUAGAGAAGUUCUUGCGCAGCAGCUUUGCCAAUUCAAUGGAACAUACUUUGACAGGGUUUGAUUUCAGAACAUCUAAAGAGUCUACUGGUAAUACAGAUGGACCUGGGCUUCCAAACUAUGUAAAACCAAGAAUUCAGGAACCUUCUGGCAAUAGUGUUGGUUAUGAUAACUCAGUGAGCAACAUGGCUGCAUCUGAGGGAUUAUGUAAUGAUAGGAUGGGUACGCCUGAUGAAUCUUUUGAAGAUCCUGGACCUGGAGAAACAUGUAAUGGUCAAGCAUCUAGAGCAGAUAACUCACAUGAAGAUAUACAGACAGAUGCAAGUGGGCAGAGGAUUGUUACUCACUCCGCGGACUCUACUUUAGUUAAUAAUGAUAUAGAUAAAAUAGAAGAAGAACGUGGAUCUUCCAAGUUGGGCAACAGCUCAGUGUGUCCCGGAACAGAACAUGUGUCAGAAGCACUAAACCAAGGGGCGAGUCCAGAGCAUGGAAGUGUUCAGUGUUCAAGAAGACUACGGAGCGGCAAAGUGUAUGGAAUGUCUAAUGGUGCGUCAUUGAAGAGGCGGUACUCCAAGAGGAAGACAAUGCAGCACGGAACAUUGAGUAUGAAGGUGAUACCAACUGAAGAGACAACACCCCCUGCCGGUCCGACUUGUCACAAAAAGGGUGGCUCAGUUGCUCAAAUCACUGCUUUGGAUAAGCUUCAAUCAAAUGAUUCGGGUCGUAAAGGUUACUUAAAUAAUUUGCAUUAA